Paramuricea clavata is the source of this 7384-nucleotide non-coding RNA. The record is from the annotation of a GenBank genome assembly. Lineage: Eukaryota; Metazoa; Cnidaria; Anthozoa; Malacalcyonacea; Plexauridae.
UUACUUUGUGUGAUUCAUAGAAAUAGCCGGUCUACUAUUUCUUUGGUGUGAUUCAAAAGGCAUUUUUGUGAACGAAAUACCCGCUUAUUUUACGUUAUAACGACUGGCUAGUUAUGGAAAUGAUAACUCAAUAUUGUGAUGGUAUUUGUUAAUGUUGUGAAAUUCGACCAUGGAUAAAGAGACAACAAUUGGGCUAUUCCAAUUAUUAUCCGCACCCCCCUGUUGAGGAACCAUGGAAUUUCCAGGGGAGGGGGUGUAUUACCCUUGGAAUUUCCAGGGGAGGGGGUGUAUUAACCUUGAAAUUUCCAGGGGAGAGGUACAUUAACUUUAAAUUUCCAGGGGAGGGAAUACAUUAACCCUGGAAUUUCCAGGGGAGGGGGUGCAUUAACCCUGGAAUUUCCAGGGAAGGGGGCAUUCGGGCUCUGGAUUUCCAAGGGGAGGAGUAAUUCUCACAUGGAAUUUCCAAAGGGAGGGGUAAAUUUGAUGGGAUGGAAAUUCCAUGGGAGGACAAUUAUGUUAGAGGGAAAUGUCCAGAAGUAAAUGUCCCAUAAUGGAAAUUCCAUAGGGAGGGGUAAUUUACACAUGGAAAUUCCAUGGACAGGGCCUAAUUUAAAAUGGAAAUUCCAUGGGGAAGGGUAAUUUUUACAAGGAAAUUCCAUGGGAAGGGGUAAAUUUUAGAUGAAAAUUUACGGAAAUUCCAGGGGAGUACCGACAUGAGAAAGGGGUUCCUCAACAGGGGGGGGGUGCAGAUAAUAAUUGGAAUAGCCCAUUGAAUGAAAGAACACCCUGUCUUAUUGUAAAUGGUAAGUUUUUAAAGGUUUUCACUUUUCGGUAAUAUUUUUUUAUAGUUAGACCCUUUAAGUGGCAAUGCGCCAUGAUGCGCCCUACUUUAGUAUUUUACUCUGUCUAACGCCAGAGUAUUUUACUCUGUCUAAUGCCAGACAAUUUUACUCUGUCUAACGCCAGACAAUUUUACUCAUCAAGUGGAGAGUGCCGCCACUCUAUGGGUUAAAGCUCAAUCUUCUCUCGAAUCUAAACUUUGGUAGAGUCAUAGAUAUCUUAUAUACACUAGAUAGUGCAUCUAAUUAUUCUGCAAUUCAAAAAUUGAAGCCGUGAUUGCAGUCUCAGGUCGUUCCCAUGAAAUGAGAAGAUUCGUAUGUUUUCCAUUUCUUAAACAGAUAACUUAAACAUUAAGUUAAACCUAUUCCAAAUACAUUUUUAAACUAUUCAAAUGAUGAAAGUUAUUGACUUCUUGUUGUUUUUAAGUGUUUAUUAGCAAGUGGGAAUUACAACCAAUAUGGCCGCCAUCUAUUCAAAUGGGGGUAACCGCUGGAAUAUUCUUGAAUUGGCUUCAAUUUUACUAAAACAGAUGCGCUAUCUAGUGUAUAUAAGAUAUCUAUGCCAUGGGUAGAGUCCAUCGAGGAGUCCGUAGACAAUUUUGGCUAACAUUGUUUUUAACUCAUGGAGCCGCAAUGCGCCCAACUUAUUUUUUUACUUGCCUAACGCCAGAUGAUUUUACUCGUCAAUGUGGAAGCUGUGCAACUUAACGGGUUGACCAAAAAAUCUGACAAUAUCUCUUAAAAUAGUUAACCAAUAAUUGAGCCCCAGUGCACCCUACUUGUUUUUUUUUUACUUGUCUAACGCCAGACGGUUUUAGUAUUUUACUUGUCAAUGGGGAAGCUGCAUGUGCAACUUACUAACAGGUUGAUAAAAAAAUCUGACAAUGUUUCUAUAGUUAACCCAUUGAGCGGCCCAUGCAGUGUGCCCUACUUGUUUUUUUACUUGUCUAAUGCCAGAUGAUUUUAGUAUUUUACUUGUCAAUGGGGAAGUUGUGUAACUUAACAGGUUGACCAAAAAAUCUGACAAUGUUUCAGUGCCGUAGCCAGAACGAUAAUUGGGGGGGGGGGGAUAUUCAUAUAUUCGUGUUCACAUACCAUAAAAACAAUUGAUUUCAAAAGAAAUUAAUAAAGCAGAACAUGCAUGAAUAUAUGAAUAUUUGCCCCCAUUUAUUAUUAGUGUUCUGGCUACUGCACUGCAAUAAUAUUUCUAUAGCUAAUAAUGAUCUUGUUGCCACCUAAUGGGCCACUUCCAUUUAAUAUUCAAUACCCCCCAAUGGAUGUUCAAAAGACUUCAGUAAAAUUUUAAUCCUAGUAGGAAAAAGAUCAAAGCUAGUGCAACACAAAACACCCCUCAGAAAUUUGUAAAUUUUCCCUUACCCCUCAGAAAUAUCGCAGAGAUCAAAGGUGCCAACAGGCUUAACCCCUCAGAAAUAAGUUGCCCUUCAGAAAAAUUCUUCCAUUUUUUCUUUGUUAGAAUUAUAUGAGUUUGGAACACCAUUUAACAUUUGUUUUGUUAAAAAUUAACUUAAAAUAUAUUCAUAAUAUGUGUAUAUUCAAAGUUAUUUUUUAAUAUUAUAUAUUUGAAACAUAGCAAUUAAGACAUCAAUUUAGAUAGCAAGAAAUAAAAAUAUAAUGUACAUAUGCAACUUUUCCAAGGGGUUCCCGCAAGUUUCUUACAUAUGGAGCAUUAAGCUGCAGAGCUUCCCCAUUGAUGAGUGAAAUGGUCUGGCAUUGCACAAGUAAAAAAAGUAGGGUGCACUAGAGCGCAUUGCGGCUCAAUGGGUUAAUAGGUUAACUGCACACAUGAGCAGUCUGAUUAACACAUUGAGUGACAGCGCUCUCCCUAUCUAUCCAUGCAAGUUUUUUACAGUUUUUCAGGCAUUUUAUAUAGAGAAUAAUACAUGUGUGUGUCCGUGCGUGGAAAUACCAGAUUUAUUUUGAGUGUUGAAAAUGAUAUCAUGUUCAACACGAGAAAUAUAUCUGAUAUUUCCAAGCACUCAUGUAUUUUAAUUUUUGUUUAUUAUAUAAAGGACAGUCUUUGAUGAAAAGCGAUAAUUUUUACAGAAAAGCGAUAAUUGAAAAGCGAUAAUUUUCACAUGUGAGAUUAUCAGUUUUAUCAAUGCUUGAAAUCUCUUUCAAAAACUCAUUAAUAAUUCAUAUGAAGCAAUUAUCCAAUCUUGAGUAAGAAAUUAGUCACGUGCAUACGUCUUUAUACCAGCUAAAGAACACUUUAACAAAAGACCAUUGUUAUGCAAACCAUAUAAAAUUUUUAUAUAAAGAUUUUUAUAUAAAGAUUUUUAUAUAAAGAUUUUUAUAUAAAGAUUUUUAUAUAAAGAUUUUUAUAUAAAGAUUUUUAUAUAAAGAUUUGACUUAUUAUGCAAACGUUUUUGAAGCCAUUUAAAAAACUCUCAGGUCAUGUUUUAUUAGCCAGGUCUAAAGCCACUGGUGCGCUUUAAACCUAACAAUUAAAACACUCCUGCUCGUUUUUAAAUAGUACAUAAAGCACAGACUAUACUUUAUACAAUGUUAAAAUGCUGGUAAUAAAUUGCUUUUCAACAGUUUAGUAUUAUAAGGCCACAUAAAAAAAUCUAUUUACAGUAUUUCACCUAUUUAAAUUUUUCUGGGUAGGGUGGGCGGGGUUUUUUCUUUUGUAGAAUGCAACACAAACUUCUGAAAUAUAAGUUUUUUUCGCAGCAUGCAAUACAAAAUUCUGUUACAGGGUGUUUGAAAAGCUAUUAAUGCAGGAAUUCCAGCAUACCAUGUACCACAGUCAAAACUCACUUUAAUUCUUUCAAAAUCCCUUCAUAUUUUUUAAUACCGUUCAUGUUUUAUGAAUAAAACAAAACAUUACAAUGGGCUAUUCCAAUUAUUAUCCACACCCCCCUGUUGAGGAACCCUGUUCUCAUGUCAAGACUUAGCUCCCCUGGAAUUUCCACAAAUUUUCAUGUAAAAUUUACAUGGAAUUUCCUUGUAAAAAUUACCCUUUCCCAUGGAAUUUCCAUUUUAAAUUAGGCCUUCCCCAUGGAAUUUCCAUUUAAAAUUUGGCCCUGCCCAUGGAAUUUCCAUGUGUAAAUUACCCCUUCCUAUGGAAUUUCCAUCAUAUGGGACAUUUACAGUUUACUCCCGGAAUUUCCCUCUAACAUAGUAUGUCCUCCCAUGGAAUUUCCAUCCCAUGAAAUUUACACACUCCUGGGUGCGGAUAACAAUUUACCGAUUUACGCGAACACUUUACCUGCAAACAGGCAUAUUCUUGGAAGGAAAUAUUUCAUGUAAACGUAUUAGAUUACAUAGCUCCUGGAAGAAUGAAAUCAUCAUUUUUUACAAGUAAAACCGUCUUUUUUAUAGAGAGUUUUUGCACUGAACUCGGACAGAUUUUGGAGGAAAAAAAUUGGAGGUCAGGGACUUUUGUCAGGCCGGGCGGAGACACUAAACAAGUAAGUUUUUUUAUGUGGCCUAAAACAGAUUUUUAAAGAGAAAUUCAUGGCAACAUUGCCAGCUGAGUACAUUGCAAUAUUGUCACGCAAUAUUGAUUGCUCUAGCAAACUGCAACCAACGCGAACAAUGUGCAAUUUUUAGGUACAGUUGAAAUUAUUGGGUGUGUUGACAAUUUGUUGAGAGGUCUUGCCCAAAUGUCAGAUGCCAAGCAUUUGAUUGGCUUGUUUUGUACUGGUAGUCAGCCAGUCAGACUUAAUUUACAAACUUGCUUGCAAAUCAAAUAAUGAACUUUUGAAUUUUGCAGUUGGCGGUUUAAUACUGUUUAUAUGGUACUCUACGUAAAGUUGCAAUUUGUUCAUGUCGGUUGCAAUUUGCUAGAGCAAUCAGCCAGAUUCGACUGUAAUUAGGGGCCGCGUCAUAUUGCCAUGCUUAGCGUCAAAUUGACGUUAAGAGUGGGUGAUUCGUGGCAUAAUGACAAUUUUGUGAACAUUUUGAAGAAUUUGAGGUCAACUCAUCAUUUGAGGUGAGAUCAUCAAUUCAAAAUAAUUAAAACCUCGCUAUUUCCUGGCUAAAGCAUGACUGCCACGCUUGACGUUAAUGAGGGUGGGUUUGAGUGUUAACGUCAAUUUGACGCUAAGCGUGGCAACACGAAUAUGGACGCGGCCCCUUACAUAUGUUAUAUGUCUAAGUUCAUCCUCAAAUGAAAAACUGAAGGUUCAUCUAUCUAAGGUUUACAUUCUACAGCACUUAAACAGCUGUUACACAGUGUAAGUUCCAAAGAAUUAGCCGUAUUUUAUACACUUUUAAAGAAUAAAUUAUUAACCAAUUACAUUGUCUCAUUCAAUACCGUAAACCUCCGACUAUAAGCCCUGAGUGGGCUUAUAUACUUUCGUAAGCGAUUUUUGAUAGGCUUAUACAAGGGGGGGGCUUAUAUCCGGGGGGGGGGGCUAAUACAUGGACGAUAUUUUGUGUUAGUAAUAAAUAAGUCAAACAUAAACAAGUCAGUCAUAAACAGGAAAAUAAACAUGUAUUAAUAACGCUCUGAUUAACAUAGUAAGCUAUAAAGACAAUGACAAUGUUUUUAAAUAUCGUUCUCUGCUAUAUUAAAAGACGACAUUAUGUCAAUGUUGAAUAACAUAGUGGGCCAUUGGGCUUAUAUUUGGGGGACUUAUAUUCGGGUGGGCUUUAAUAUUCGGGUGGGCUUAAUAAUAUUUGAGGGCUUAUAUUUGGAAUGAGGAGAGCGUUAAUAUAUGUGGUUGGCUUAUAUUCGGGGGGCUUAUAUUGGGGGGGGGCUUAUAGUCGGAGGUUUACGGUACACUAAUCACACGUACAUGAUAUUUAUAUUAGUACUUUGAAUUACACACCAAGAUAAUUAUCUAAACAAUCCUAUAUCAUAAUAUUGUUCAACCCAUUGAGCUGCAAUGUGCCCCAGUGUACUUUUUUUUUACCUGUCUAACACCAGGCGCCGGUUGUAUCAAGCCCGUUUAGCUUAAACGGUGGUUACGCUCAAAAUAGAAAGCAAGUCUAUAGAAUCAUUCAACAACCAAACUAAAAGUUUUGAACUUUAAUAGAACGAUAAUGUUUACAACUACAUAUUCAGUGCAGAAUAUUUAAGUUGACUGAUUCACGAAAAGAAAAGAGUGUUACUGAAUUUUGACUUAUCCACUGUUUAAGCUAAACAGGCCCCAGGCGACAACCGGCCCCAGGCGAUUUUACUCAUCAAUGGCGAAGCUCUGCAACUGACAAUGGGUUAAUUCACUUUUAUUAAAUCUGUUUGACCCUUUAACUGGGUAAUAUAUGCAUCCCGAUGAGCCCUAUACUUUAUUAAUUCACUCUGUAUGUACUAUUUACAGGGAUGGAUCCAGCAUGAUCUGGUAGGGGGGUGCUCUGGUGCCGACUGCCGAGUUGUGUCGGUCAUGUGUGUUGCCGGCCCAUCAACUACUGUAUUUGAAUUGUAAUUGUUGUUCACAGUUCACUUAUCAUCAUGUUAUUACUCAAAUUACUGUAUCUCGAUUUCUUUUUUUUGCUUUAUCAUAAAAAAUAGCCCCCAGUGCGCACCCCCCCCGCACCCCCCCCCAUAAAUCCAUCCCUGACUAUUUACCCUUGAUAAUUUAUUAACUUCCAUCUACCAGACCCUUCAACUAUUAUUCUAUCGAGUGAGAUGCAACAAAAUCUUGAUAUCUAACUACUACUGUAUACUGACACUGGAUGAUUGUGCAAUAUUCUCCUUUUAAUGAGUAAAAUCACCUGCCAUUAGUCAUAAUACAACAAUAAAGUUUGGGAGCAUUGAAGCUAAUUACUUAAUCUUACUCAUCUUAGGCAACAUCAAUCCAACUAUGUAACAAAAUACUAAUGUGUACAAGCCAAUCAAGUCCAACGUAUUGUCAUUUUUGGAUGUUGUAAAACAGUUCAUGAAAAGGUCAGUUUCAAUUACAGUAGUUUGGAUUGUUACCAAAGUACCAUUAUACAAGAAUGAUAUGAAAAUUUUCCUUUAAUGGUCCCCCUGGUCCGGCAUUUUCAGCCACUUUUUCGAUCUCUGAAAAAGGGGCGAAAAUCGUCCAAAAAGUAAGGCUAUAGCCUUAACUUUUCGUCCAUUUUCAGCCACUUUUUCGAUUUUUGAAAAAGGGGCGAAAAUCGUCCAAAAAGUAAGGCUACAGCCUUAACUUUUCGUCCAUUUUUGGCCACUUUUCCAUUUUUGAAAAAGGGGCGAAAAUCGUCCAAAAAGUAAGGCUAUUAUUAUUAUUAUUAUUAUUAUUAUUAUUAUUAUUAUUAUUAAAGCUUUUAUUUGCAUGACCUAGUUACAGGUAUUGCUAAACGUAUAUAUAUAUAAAAAAGUUAUAGUAAAUAACAACUAAUUUUACUGUAGUUACAACAUUAAGUGGAUAAAGAGAUAUAUACAAUAGAUAAUAUAUAAUAGAAAUAUAGGAAAAUUAGUUAGUAUCUCUUGUUUGAAGGCUUUUGUCUCUAAUGUUAAAACAUUUUGCAAUGAAUUUUGAAAAUAGAUCGAUUAAAACUGAAUCAGUACUUGAAAUAACAUGACUCAAUAAGUUUUGCUUUGACUCUGUUACGAGAGUCAUUUGAAAAAUGUUUUUCAGCAUAUUGCUGGAAUC